AUCCACUUUGGGUAGCAUUUUGUAUCCUCAUUGGUGGUCUGUUUCUGGAUGUGCUAAUAUCCAUUACGCUUGGAAUCUCUACACUGCAUGUGAACAUCAUAAUCGGUACAUGCUUUUUAUCUUUUCAACUUCUCAUUAAUCGUAUGUUGUAGCAUUUAGCAAAUAGUAUUUACAUUAAAACAAAAAAAUAAAAGAGCUUAGUCCAUAUUUAUCAGCACAAAAACCUGCAAAAUUUUGUAGUUUUCUUUCUUCGCUUUCUGCCAAAAGGAUACACAAAAAUGAAACAAGAUAAACCUAAACAUAAUGAGAAUUUCCAGAAACUUUAAAUUAUUUCUGUGAUGUGGUCCUUGUAGUUGUGGCUAUACUCGCUGUUUGAGUUUGGAAUCAUUAUAUAUAUUUCGUAUUUUACAUGAAAGGUCACUCGAAGUCAUUGAGAAAACACAACCAAUUCGUUCUGUUUUUUUAGUGUUGGGAUUUGCGUUCUUGCUCUUUGAUUCGAACUUUCCUGUUGUUUGAUGUUCAUAUCAUCUAUUGGUAUUUUGUUAGCAAGUAGCCUCAUUAUACAGAAAGGUACUUUAAAAGGCAUUUUUCUAUGCCAGAUCUUUUCCCCAGAGGGUCUUGUCUUUCAUUUUUUUCUAUUCUCCAUUAGGAGGGAGAAUCACAUAUAACAGAUGUAGGGGAAUAAAAUGAAUAACUAAUUUAAUCAAAACAACUCUCUCCCCAAAUGUUACUAAUUUAAUCACAUAUAACAGAUGUGGGGAUUCAUCCUCUUUCUUCUUGGUCAAAUUUUUUGAAUUAUUUUUACACUUUUUCCCCUAAUUCAAGUUAUAUCUUAAUAAUUGCAGGAUAAAGUUUAACUUUAUUAAAAAAUUAUUGAAGUUUAUAACCAACACAAUGUUAUAUGCAUCAAAGGCAGAUUUGGGAAUUUGAUAACCAACGAUGUUUUUAACUUUAUUAAAUGGUUAAUAAUGAAAUUGAAUAUUUGUUAUUAAUAUUUAGAAAGAAGGUGACAAUGUAACAAAAAAGAUUUCUUUUUUACUUUUGUUAGAAGAAUUGCUUUAUGGUAAGAGAAGUCAAAAAAUAAAAUAUUAUGUUACAUUACAGAAAAGUAAUUCUGCCUUUCAUGCCAAAAUUGCUUUACUGUUUGUGACUUUCUGAGUUUCACCCUUCAAAGCAGUGGUCAAUAUCAAAUUAAUAUGCUUUUGGUUUAUUUGGUUAGUUUUGUUGAUUUACUUCUAUCGUAUAGGAUAUCUAUGGAUAAUGGUGAUAAAAGUUGGAUGAAUCUCUUGAGAUGGACGGAUGAGUAUAUCCGUAGAGUGAAUGAUUUUCUGGAUAAGGCAUUUGAACGAGCCUCCCAAGGAAAUGAAAUAUUAUGCCCCUGCAAAAAGUGCAUGAAUCGCUAUUGGCAUUAUAGAAAUGUGGUGGAGUAUCAUUUGGUUGUUCAUAGAUUUAUUGAAGGUUAUACCAAAUGGGUUUUCCACGACGAAGGAUUUUCCUCGAGAAAUACACCUCAUCUAAGCAAUGAUGAUGAAGGUUUCUACCAUGCGUGAAGAUAUUGAUGGACUACUUCAUGAUAUAUUUAGAAAUAUAGAGGGUCAGACAAGGAAUGAAUAAGGAGUUAAGAAGUUGGGAAAAGACUAUCUGAAGAUGCAAAGAAGUUUUUCAAAUUACUGGAGGAAGAAAAACAAGAAUUAUAUUCGGGGUGUGAAAAUUUUAGUACACACCCCCAGUGAGCGCAGGUACCUACUGAGUGUGAGUGCCGAGUGCGAGUGCUGAGCGAUUGGAAGGACUGAGUGACCGGGAGGACUGAGUGAAAUGAUACUCUGGGAGUAUGCAUAUAAUUUUAUCACUAAGUUGCAUCGCAUUGACAUGCACACAUGGCAUACAUGUAUAGAGAUGUAUUUUCCUCAUGUUGUACAGUAUCACAUCAUUCAUGAUUUCUCACAUGUUGACAGAUGGGCAUAGUGAUGCAUUUAUUUUUACACUGGGUUAUUUGGGAAGAAAAUAAAAUAUCUCAUUUAUUAUUAAAAGGAUUUUGGGGAAAAUUAUUGCUUUCAAACUUAUUUAUAUUUUUGGCAACUUCGGUAAACGAUUUUGGGUUUCACUGAUGUACUUAAAAGGAAGAACUAUUUCUUUGAAAAUUAUGAUUUAGCUGAGCAUUUUCCUUUGAAUUUCUUCUUGUAUUAUUUGCUUUAUGUUGUGAUGGACUUGGGACUAUUGGUUUUGGACCCGACCUUGGUAAAAGCUCGUCACUGCUUUCUACCUAAGGUUAGGUUUGUUACUUACUUAGUAGAUGGGGUCGGUUGUACUGAUACUACACUUCUGCACAUUGCAUGCAGAUAUUGGUUGUUGUUGUUGCUGCACUCGAUGGUUGCCAUAUUUGAAGAUGUACCUGCGUUCCUAUUGUAGCUGCCUCUUGUUCAUGGUAGCCUUAGAUUCAUAAAACUCUGUUUAUGUACUUUUCAAACAAAUGAUGUAAUUAUUUCAUACCAGUUUUNNN
This 2500-nucleotide long non-coding RNA is filed under the name Nicotiana tabacum (common tobacco). Its description in RNAcentral is "long non-coding RNA (NTAB_LNC011600)". The record is from RNAcentral. Lineage: Eukaryota; Viridiplantae; Streptophyta; Magnoliopsida; Solanales; Solanaceae.